AAUACUAUCGUGCCAGUUGGUACCCCCAGUGACAACGAGUAUGCAUUUGCUGGGGUGUUGAAAAGGGAAUCUGGUGAAAAUCCAGAACUGACGCGCAGCGGUAAAUAGAAGACAAGAUCUCAAGAGACACUGCACCAGAUGUGGGAAGUCGAGGUUUUGGCGGUUAUCUCAGGGUAAUCAUAUUCUUAAGUCCGAAGACCUGCCAGCAACCGGGAGAAAACA
RNAcentral lists this non-coding RNA (222 nucleotides) under Vibrio spartinae. The record is from RNAcentral. Lineage: Bacteria; Pseudomonadati; Pseudomonadota; Gammaproteobacteria; Vibrionales; Vibrionaceae.